AUUGAACGCUGGCGGCAGGCCUAACACAUGCAAGUCGAACGAGUGGCGGACGGGUGAGUAAUGUCUGGGAAACUGCCCGAUGGAGGGGGAUAACUACUGGAAACGGUAGCUAAUACCGCAUACCAUCGGAUGUGCCCAGAUGGGAUUAGCUAGUAGGUGGGGUAACGGCUCACCUAGGCGACGAUCCCUAGCUGGUCUGAGAGGAUGACGAGCAACACUGGAACUGAGAGACUGUCGAGACUCAUACGGGCGGCAGCAGUGGGGAAUAUUGCACAAUGGGCGCAAGCCUGAUGCAGCCAUGCGGCGUGUAUGAAGAAGGCCUUCGGGUUGUAAAGUACUUUCAUCGAGGAGGCGUUACUCGCAGAAGAAGCACCGGCGAACUCCGUGCCAGCAGCCGCGGUAAUAC
This 406-nucleotide ribosomal RNA is filed under the name uncultured bacterium. Its description in RNAcentral is "partial 16S ribosomal RNA". It matches the Rfam family "Bacterial small subunit ribosomal RNA", at positions 30 to 526 of the family's 1533-position model. The record is from RNAcentral.